GGAUUAUGGAGUUGCAGCACUGAACACAUUGCUAUACAAAUUAACUUUUCCUCCCUGUGCUUUCUAGUAAAAGCCAGGCAGCCUCCCCCCGGGGAAGGAAGUCAGCAAGCUCCUUUGCAACACACUCUCUGGUUCACAGGGUUCCAGUUUGAUCAGCCUUCCAUAGGGGGCUUUGCAGCCUGACUGGAGCAUGUGUCACAAUGGAAAGCAGCAACAUCUGGUAACAGACAAUGAGAUAUCAGAGUUCCAGUUUGGAGGCAUCUUGCUAUUGAUUGGAGCAGGAGGAAGCUAGUGAGGAGAGACUUUGGAAUACAAUACAGAAAAUGAAACAUGAAAUGAAUGCGAUCCACCUUCCUGGCCCUUUCUCUCACUCUGUAAUUUGUGGCAUUUAAUGGAGGAAAUCAUUGUGAUUUUGUACAAUAAUAUGAAAAGGAAAGGGAAAAAAAAAAUAGAACC
Cyprinus carpio (common carp) is the source of this 456-nucleotide long non-coding RNA. NCBI's taxonomy places the organism in Eukaryota, Metazoa, Chordata, Actinopteri, Cypriniformes, Cyprinidae. The record is from Ensembl.